AGCUUUGCCCUGGCAUGACAAAGUGCCGGAAUCCUUUAUCUCAUUACAAUUUACAGAUCACCUCCCGAUGAUUCAUCUGAAAGAAAGAUCAGGACAACACAGCCUCUGGGAAAUGGAGACCUACUUUGCAGACCUGUGAGGGUGAUGAAAACAGCGGGAUUGCCUCUCGCUCUACAGGUUCAUGGAAAUCCGGGUUAUGCUGCCACUGCUGUGGAUUCUCAACCUUUGAGACAUGAAGGAAAGCGGAAAAACUCUUCCGAUGCCAGGGUCUGCAAAAGGCUGCUGCGUGCCUUCUCCGGGGUACAAAGGAAUAAGACCAUCUCACCUCCCUCUUCAGACAACUGCCUGCCUGGAUGUGUUUUAAGACCCAGUAAAAAAACUGUAGGAUCACAGGAAUUAGAGAGAGAAAAUACCUACUAGGCCUAAUACCAAUGCAGGACUGUUUCCUACAAAAUAUUGUAGUGUUCCACAAUGACCUUCCUUUUAAAAUAGAUCUUGUCUCUUUCUACUCCAAAACACUGCUUAUCUGACAUUCACAUUUCUCUGUGCCGCCCCCUCCUCUGAUCACGGUUGGUGCCAGUCUUCUAUGCAGUUCCUAUCAUCUGGAAUAGCCUUCCCAUAUCUCUACAUCCUCAAAUCCUGUUGUAACCCUUUUGACCCCAGUGGCUAGCCCAAGUUCGAGGCUCUGUGGGUUGUUUCCACUAGGAGGAGUACUUGAUAGUCAGGAACUUUCUUUGAUGCAAUCUUGUUUAUUUACAAAGAUUUGUACAUUGUUAUUUAUUUAUUAUUUGUAUUACCAUGGGGAGUAGUCAUGGGCCAAAGUCCUGUUUCCCUGAGCAUAGUAGGAACCAAAGAGCAGGUGAUGGUUCUUUUUCUUGCUGUUUCAAACCUGCUUUUCCAGCCAGCACUCUGUGCCCAAAAAGCUUUCUCUUAGGGUCACGUUAUCACCACUUCUGUUAUCGUCUGCUUGGCCUUCUGGCCCCUUCUCUCUCUUCCAUCCUCUCGUCGCUCGCA
This 1014-nucleotide long non-coding RNA is filed under the name Chrysemys picta bellii (western painted turtle). Its description in RNAcentral is "lncRNA (ENSCPBG00000005860.1)". Lineage: Eukaryota; Metazoa; Chordata; Testudines; Emydidae. The record is from RNAcentral.